GUUUACGGCCAUACUACCCUGAUAACGCCCGAUUUCAUUCUGAUCUCGGAAGCUAAGCAGAGGCAGGCCUGGUUUGUACUUGGAUGGGAGACCACCUGGGAAUACCAGGUGCUGUAAGCU
Phycodurus eques (leafy seadragon) is the source of this 120-nucleotide ribosomal RNA. The record is from RefSeq and is a predicted model, not a curated record. NCBI's taxonomy places the organism in Eukaryota, Metazoa, Chordata, Actinopteri, Syngnathiformes, Syngnathidae.